Molecule: transfer RNA, 64 nt
Filed under: Ralstonia pickettii
Lineage: Bacteria; Pseudomonadati; Pseudomonadota; Betaproteobacteria; Burkholderiales; Burkholderiaceae
Also listed under: 3 other names
Description: tRNA-Ser
Source: RNAcentral
CCGUAGAGGCGAGUUACUUCGCCUGCUAAGCGAGAGGUCGCCGGUUCGAGCCCGGCCAGUCGAA